Molecule: ribosomal RNA, 495 nt
Filed under: uncultured bacterium
Lineage: Bacteria
Description: partial 16S ribosomal RNA
Rfam family: Bacterial small subunit ribosomal RNA
Source: RNAcentral
GACGAACGCUGGCGGCGUGCCUAAUACAUGCAAGUAGAACGCUGAAGGAGGAGCUUGCUUCUCUGGAUGAGUUGCGAACGGGUGAGUAACGCGUAGGUAACCUGCCUGGUAGCGGGGGAUAACUAUUGGAAACGAUAGCUAAUACCGCAUAAGAGUAGAUGUUGCAUGACAUUUGCUUAAAAGGUGCAAUUGCAUCACUACCAGAUGGACCUGCGUUGUAUUAGCUAGUUGGUGGGGUAACGGCUCACCAAGGCGACGAUACAUAGCCGACCUGAGAGGGGGAUCGGCCACACUGGGACUGAGACACGGCCCAGACUCAUACGGGAGGCAGCAGUAGGGAAUCUUCGGCAAUGGACGGAAGUCUGACCGAGCAACGCCGCGUGAGUGAAGAAGGUUUUCGGAUCGUAAAGCUCUGUUGUAAGAGAAGAACGAGUGUGAGAGUGGAAAGUUCACACUGUGACGGUAUCUUACCAGAAAGGGACGGCUAACUACGUG